UACAGAGGUCCCAAGCGUUGUUCGGAAUCACUGGGCGUAAAGGGUGCGUAGGCGGGUCUUUAAGUCAGGGGUGAAAUCCUGGAGCUCAACUCCAGAACUGCCUUUGAUACUGAGGAUCUUGAGUACGGGAGAGGUGAGUGGAACUGCGAGUGUAGAGGUGAAAUUCGUAGAUAUUCGCAAGAACACCAGUCGCGAAGGCGGCUCACUGGCCCGUAACUGACGCUGAGGCACGAAAGCGUGGGGAGCAAACAGG
Molecule: ribosomal RNA, 253 nt
Filed under: uncultured bacterium
Lineage: Bacteria
Description: partial 16S ribosomal RNA
Rfam family: Bacterial small subunit ribosomal RNA
Source: RNAcentral